CAGCUGUGGUCCUUCCUCCCUGACGGAAAUGCCAGUUUUGCCUGUACUGGAGCAAACCAUGGCUGGCCACAAGCAAACACGGCUGCGGGUGAAGGCCAGCAGAGAAAGAAUGACAUCAUGAAACCCGAGAGAGAACGCAAACACCAAGCCAGCACCAUGUGCAGGGUGGAACAGUGCUGGUGCCAGUCCCAGUGCCACAGAUAUAACCUCUUUGGAUGCAUGCCAUUCCAUGCCCAGCUACUUAAAACGUUUUUGCUUAAAAGAGUUUGCUACUGUAAGCAGGCUAUACAUAGGUAGGUAAACUUGCACGUCAAGAUCCAGG
Long non-coding RNA from Corvus hawaiiensis (hawaiian crow), 322 nucleotides. RefSeq lists it as uncharacterized. Lineage: Eukaryota; Metazoa; Chordata; Aves; Passeriformes; Corvidae. The record is from RefSeq and is a predicted model, not a curated record. The transcript is spliced from 3 exons.